CUCAUAGUAGGAAUUUUUAUGUAUAAAAUCAUUUAACGAUAGGAUAUGAGUAUAAAAUUUUCUAUUUGCAUUAUUUAUUCAACAUUCUCAAUCAGAUAAAUUCUUUGAACGAAACAACCGGCUAUUCAAAAGUGUUGUAACAUUAGUUCCCCGUUUGUUAGACAAGGUGAAAUUGUUAUUGUUAGUAUGGCUGAAAGCCAAAAAUGUUAUGUUAAUUUGUGUUUGGCACGCAGAGGUGGUGGUCAAGCUCUUUAGCUUGUUUGGGUAUUGGCUAACUACUCUCGUGUUCUUCUUUCGUUUGUGAUAAACUCUGUUAUAUUGUAAUAGUUAUCUAGGCACACCUUGUGCUUGGUAACUGCUUUUGGUUUUGGUUAUUUAAUUCCAUUUUGGUUUCUUCAAAAAAAGAAACAUUUAUAGAAAUUCGGGCAAGAAUUGAUUUUCGCUACUUUUAAGUGGAAAAAGCUCGUUUUUUAGUCCAACUUCAGGUGGAAACUUUCCCUAUAAAUACCAAGCAUUUCAUUCAUAAUUUCUCAUUCAUAGCGAAGCGCUUCAAGAGGAAGGUAAGCACUAGAAGCUUCAAAGGAGAAGUUCAGUCGUCAGUCCGAGUCUUUAAGAUAUAUUUUAUUUCUUUUGUAAUUUGUCGGUAGUUACCAUUAGUAACUAAAUCUUUUUAGGCUAGGGUUCAAAGAUCAACUCUAUUUUUUUUUGUU
RNAcentral lists this long non-coding RNA (710 nucleotides) under Medicago truncatula (barrel medic). RNAcentral describes it as "lncRNA gene31449". The record is from RNAcentral. Lineage: Eukaryota; Viridiplantae; Streptophyta; Magnoliopsida; Fabales; Fabaceae.